GAGUGAACGCACCGCUGGUGUUCGGGUUGUCAUGCCAAUGGCACUGCCCGGUAGCUAAGUGCGGAAGAGAUAAGUGCUGAAAGCAUCUAAGCACGAAACUUGCCCCGAGAUGAGUUCUCCCUGACCCCUUGAGGGUCCUGAAGGGACGUUGAAGACGACGACGUUGAUAGGCCGGGUGUGUAAGCGCAGCGAUGCGUUGAGCUAACCGGUACUAAUGACCCGUGAGGCUUAACCUUACAACGCCAGAGGCGUUUUG
This 256-nucleotide ribosomal RNA is filed under the name Pantoea sp. ICBG 828. RNAcentral describes it as "partial 23S ribosomal RNA". It matches the Rfam family "Bacterial large subunit ribosomal RNA", at positions 2695 to 2925 of the family's 2925-position model. Lineage: Bacteria; Pseudomonadati; Pseudomonadota; Gammaproteobacteria; Enterobacterales; Erwiniaceae. The record is from RNAcentral. RNAcentral also lists the same sequence under 1 other name.